Molecule: long non-coding RNA, 1567 nt
Organism: Dermochelys coriacea (leatherback sea turtle)
Lineage: Eukaryota; Metazoa; Chordata; Testudines; Dermochelyidae
Exons: 2
Source: RefSeq, a predicted model, not a curated record
GGCAGUUGCAGCCACAGCCCUGACGCUUGCAGAAGCUGAGAAACUAACCUUGGGAGGGACAAUACAAAUAUAUACCCCUCAUAUGGUCCAAGCCUUAUUGGAUGCAAAGGGAGGCCUUUGGCUCAGCCAGGCUCGGAUGGCUAGAUAUCAGGCCAAACUUCUAAAGAACUCUGAAGUCACCUUACAGUCUUGCCCCUCCCUUAACCCCGCCACCCUCUUACCGGAGACUGAGGAACAAGAACAUGAUUGUUUAGAGAUCAUAGAUGCCCAAUACUCCAGCUGUCUGGACUUAAAAGAUAUACCCCUCCCAAACGCAGAUCAUGAGUGGUACACUGAUGGUAGCAGUACUGUGAUAGAUGGGCAAAGGAGGGCGGGUUAUGCUGUCGUGACCCUCCAUGACACUAUGGAAGCCAAGGUUUUGCCCUCUGGGACCUCGGCCCAGCUUCCCGAACUAGUUGCCGUGACCCAUGCACUCGAACUGUCAAAAGGGAAGCGGGUCAACAUUUUUACCAAUUCAAAAUAUGCUGUGGGAGUGCUACAUGCUCAUGCUGGCCUAUGGAAGUAAAGAGGAAUGCUGACAGCUCAAGGCUCCCGAGUCAAGCACGGACCCCAAAUCCUCCAGCUCCUAGAAGCCGUACAACUCCCCUCAGAAGUGGCGUAGUACACUGUAAAGCCCAUCAAAGGGAAGAUCAAGAUGUGGCCAAGGUAUACUAAGGAUUCCCAGCCUCUCCCCUAGGACUCUCCCGUCCACUCCUUACAGCCCGGCGACUCCGUGCUUGUUCGUACCUGGAAAGAUGAGCCUCUCCAGGAAAAGUGGAAAGGACCCUACACCAUCCUGCUGAUCUCCCAUACGGCAGCAAAGGUCGAGGGACACAAGAACUGGAACCAUCACUCUCAUCUAAAGGCAGUACCCUCCCCCUCGUCAGCAGAGCAGUGGACCGUCCAAACCGUUGACUCCUCAUCUAGUGACGAUCUCGGGCUAAAGCUGUUUAAGAGACACAAACAGCAGGCACCUUAGCGCCAAAAUGGGCCCACCCAGGAACUGGAAACCCUGGGCCGGGAGGAUUCCGGUAACAAUUAGUUGUGUAAUACUGUUAUUUUCUGUAUUGUUAUUUCCGAACUGUGCAGAUCAGGAACAUAACUCCUUUGUUUUACUUGCACACCAUGUUGCUACUUUAACAAACCAGACUGAUUGUUGGGUGUGUGCUCCGACUCUACUGUCCCCUACAACAGGAAUGCCCCUUGUCAUGCUGCCCUUAAACCUAGCAGAAUUAGCUGCCACCAAAGAGCAGGAAGAUAAAAACCGAACAGACUCGCCAUUCUGGAAUAAGACCUCUUCGCAGCAAGCCAUUUAUCAGAACCAGGAGUAUUCAAUUGCAGUGCUCACGGAGGGAGUAUUUGUUUUACCCGAAACCAAUCUGAUCACUAUAGGCGUCCUGUGGGAAAGAGCUCCUGUGUUAUUACACAGUGGGCCGAUGGGUAUUGGAUAAAGACCAGGAGGGGAGGUCAGCAGUGUGGGUGUAAUGGUUCCUCCCCUUUUGGGGAAACUCUUAUGAAUAAUCUUACC